This 253-nucleotide ribosomal RNA is filed under the name uncultured bacterium. RNAcentral describes it as "partial 16S ribosomal RNA". It matches the Rfam family "Bacterial small subunit ribosomal RNA", at positions 524 to 776 of the family's 1533-position model. The record is from RNAcentral.
UACGUAGGGGGCAAGCGUUAUCCGGAUUCACUGGGUGUAAAGAGAGCGUAGACGGCGACGCAAGUCUGGAGUGAAAGCCCGGGGCCCAACCCCGGGACUGCUCUGGAAACUGCGUCGCUGGAGUACGGGAGGGGCAGGCGGAAUUCCUGGUGUAGCGGUGAAAUGCGUAGAUAUCAGGAGGAACACCGGCGGCGAAGGCGGCCUGCUGGACCGUGACUGACGUUGAGGCUCGAGAGCGUGGGGAGCAAACAGG